Molecule: non-coding RNA, 71 nt
Organism: Xenopus laevis (African clawed frog)
Lineage: Eukaryota; Metazoa; Chordata; Amphibia; Anura; Pipidae
Source: Rfam
UUUAAGACCUGAUGAUCUCUAUUACCGCCCCAGUCUGAUUUAUCUGUGACUGAUGGUAUCUUCUGACUGUC